The sequence is a regulatory RNA element, 88 nucleotides long. It matches the Rfam family "Rhodo-rpoB RNA". The record is from Rfam.
UCAUCGGGAGGCAUUCGGUGGGACGGAUGCCACGAAUAGAUGAAACCCCCCUCUCAAUGGGAGAGUCUCGCGUUCCCGGCGGCGGCUC